AUCUAUACUGUGAAACUGCGAAUGGCUCAUUAAAUCAGUUAUCGUUUAUUUGAUAGUACCUUACUACUUGGAUAACCGUGGUAAUUCUAGAGCUAAUACAUGCUAAAAACCCCGACUUCGGAAGGGGUGUAUUUAUUAGAUAAAAAACCAAUGCCCUUCGGGGCUCCUUGGUGAUUCAUGAUAACUUAAACGAAUCGCAUGGCCUUGCGCCGGCGAUGGUUCAUUCAAAUUUCUGCCCUAUCAACUUUCGAUGGUAGGAUAGUGGCCUACCAUGGUAUCAACGGGUAACGGGGAAUUAGGGUUCUAUUCCGGAGAGGGAGCCUGAGAAACGGCUACCACAUCCAAGGAAGGCAGCAGGCGCGCAAAUUACCCAAUCCCGACACGGGGAGGUAGUGACAAUAAAUACUGAUACAGGGCUCUUUUGGGUCUUGUAAUUGGAAUGAGUACAAUUUAAAUACCUUAACGAGGAACAAUUGGAGGGCAAGUCUGGUGCCAGCAGCCGCGGUAAUUCCAGCUCCAAUAGCGUAUAUUAAAGUUGUUGCAGUUAAAAAGCUCGUAGUUGAACCUUGGGCCUGGCUGGCCGGUCCGCCUCACCGCGUGUACUGGUCCGGCCGGGCCUUUCCUUCUGGGGAUCCUCAUGCCCUUCACUGGGUGUGUUGGGGAACCAGGACUUUUACUUUGAAAAAAUUAGAGUGUUCAAAGCAGGCCUUUGCUCGAAUACAUUAGCAUGGAAUAAUAGAAUAGGACGUGCGGUCCUAUUUUGUUGGUUUCUAGGACCGCCGUAAUGAUUAAUAGGGAUAGUCGGGGGCAUCAGUAUUCAAUUGUCAGAGGUGAAAUUCUUGGAUUUAUUGAAGACUAACUACUGCGAAAGCAUUUGCCAAGGAUGUUUUCAUUAAUCAGUGAACGAAAGUUAGGGGAUCGAAGACGAUCAGAUACCGUCGUAGUCUUAACCGUAAACUAUGCCGACUAGGGAUCGGGCGAUGUUAUUCUUUUGACUCGCUCGGCACCUUACGAGAAAUCAAAGUCU
Molecule: ribosomal RNA, 1027 nt
Filed under: Neofusicoccum eucalypticola
Lineage: Eukaryota; Fungi; Ascomycota; Dothideomycetes; Botryosphaeriales; Botryosphaeriaceae
Description: SSU rRNA
Rfam family: Eukaryotic small subunit ribosomal RNA
Source: RNAcentral